GGAGAGAUGCGAGAGCGGUUGAAUCGGGCGGUCUCGAAAACCGUUGAACCCUCUGGGUUCCGGGGGUUCGAAUCCCCCUCUCUCCGCUA
RNAcentral lists this transfer RNA (89 nucleotides) under Spirochaetaceae bacterium. Its description in RNAcentral is "tRNA-Ser". It matches the Rfam family "tRNA". Rfam says of the family: Transfer RNA (tRNA) molecules are approximately 80 nucleotides in length. Their secondary structure includes four short double-helical elements and three loops (D, anti-codon, and T loops). The record is from RNAcentral. Lineage: Bacteria; Pseudomonadati; Spirochaetota; Spirochaetia; Spirochaetales; Spirochaetaceae.